This 685-nucleotide unclassified non-coding RNA is filed under the name Hevea brasiliensis (rubber tree). Lineage: Eukaryota; Viridiplantae; Streptophyta; Magnoliopsida; Malpighiales; Euphorbiaceae. The record is from RNAcentral.
AGCCAACGCAAUUCUUAUAUCAGAAGCCUUUCUUUCAAUCAAAGUCUCCUCCAAAUCAGCAUCACAGCACUGAGGACCUUGAUCAUAUAAAGAAUAAUCUCCCACAUCAAGCAGUGCAGAAUCAUCCUCCCUCAUUAGUAAAGCAUUAUGAAGGAUCGAGCAUGCGCCAAUAAAAGCAACAGCAGUCUUAAGCUCCUCUUCGAUUGGUUUACACAAAACACCCCAAUUUUUCAAGCUAGCGACAGUUCUAAAUGCAGAAACUCGCAUUAAAUUAUUUGCUGUAUUAAAUACCUCUUCAUAUGAUCCAGGCAAAGCAUCAACAAAUGGAACCAUUAACCAAGGAAGUAAAGGAUACCCUUUUCCUCCAAUUAGGUACUGAUUUAUGGCCACACCAUUGACAAUAACUGGGCUCGAAUUCAAUAGCCUCCCUUCUUCAAUAUCCUUGUACAAAGUUGUCGAUUUAAGUAUCUUACAAUUACCCUUAUCUCCACGAAAUCCAGCGAUUACACUUAAAAUUCUUGAAGAUGAAUCCACAACAAUUUGAACAGCAAUUCUAUCAUCUUGAUCCUUGCCGUCUGAAGCUAAUUUGCAAUCAUUCUUCCCAUCAAGCUUGAAUCUAGCACAUCCUAUCACACCACAACAAUUUGGUAAUCCUGUAAGAGUUUCAAAAUCUUUUGACACCAAU